RNAcentral lists this long non-coding RNA (294 nucleotides) under Olea europaea (common olive). Its description in RNAcentral is "long non-coding RNA (OEUR_LNC009001)". Lineage: Eukaryota; Viridiplantae; Streptophyta; Magnoliopsida; Lamiales; Oleaceae. The record is from RNAcentral.
CCGAAAUUAACCCCACCGAGCUCCCAUUUCUUGAGCCUUCAACUGUAGUAAGUGGUGUAAUGGUUUUCGGUGUUUAUAUUGUGACCGAAGGUACGACGUCGCCGAGGAGGAUGGUGGGUGUGGCGUCGGCUUUGACAGGGCUUUUGUGAGAACAAAUUGGGGAAAAUGUAGGCGUUCUUCAGGAGGUCGAGCAACAAUGGUGUUCUCCGGUGCUUAUAUUGUGACCGGAGGUGCGGCGGAUGGUGGGUGACGCGCUGACCGGGAGGGAGGUGUUUUGGGAAAGCUCAAAUUGGG